UAGCUUAUAGGUAUUAUAAUAAUAACAAAAUAGUUUGUCAUCAAUUUCUGCAUAAUAAAAUAUAGUGACUAAAUUUUUUUUGACUAAAUAUGUUUGUGAUGGUAUCUAAUUUAUUGGGCGCGAAAGAUUUUGUGACAAAAUAUACUUUUGACACUAUACCUUAAUUUAUUGUGAUAACAAUUAUUUUAUAGUAAUAAAUAUUAUGUAUAGUGAUAAAAUGAUUUGUGACAAAAUUUUAUACAAUAAAAUAUAGUGACUAAUUUUUAUUUUGACUACAUAUUUUGUCAUGAUAUCUAAUUUAUUAGCGCCAAAUUUAUGGCGCCAAAGAUUUUGUGACAAAUAUUAUGACAACAUAAUAUUUUGACACUAUAUAUCUUGCAACUUCUCUUAUUGUGACAAAAUAUUGUGAUAAAUUUUAUUUCAUUACUAGCAAUUUCAUUAGCUCUCCGAAACCUAGCUCCACCACCCACUCCCUCUGUAUGCCGGUAAACUCCCUUACUAAUGCUCGUAAAGCCAAUGGCCUACAACGAACAUUAGGGAUCUGCAUGCCAUCCAUAUGUUCACUGUAUCAAAUCAAAUUAUACGCAUGAAUCAUAUAUAGAAGUUUAUAAAUUGACUAAACUACAAAUCUGUUACCACUGUGGAUCUUUUCCUGAUGCUCGCUUCAAAACCUUCACUGGUUUUUACAAGAUUUUCAGUUAGAUUGGAUAAAAAAUUGUGCCUGUUGCCAUCUUCAUUGAAUGCUUCCUUCCUGUGCGCCAUAACAUCCGGUACUAUUAACUACUUUUAGAUUCUCAAAAAACAUAACUUUGUGUCAAUACUAUGCAAGACAAUUCAAGCACCAUCCAAGACCAAACAAUUACAAUUUUCAAACAUCUAAUGAUAGGAAUCUGUAACUUUAUGUACACCAACAUUGAAAUGAUGCAAAGAACAACUAUUUCGUGUUUAGAGUACAUAGUAGAAAAUUUACAUUAAUCAGAAAAAUUUGCCAAAAUUAUUUCCACAUAUCUUCUUCUCUAAUCACUUAAUGUCCAAUUCAAUUUGUUGCCAACUAGAAAGCAAGGACAACAACUGUUACUAUUUUCCAAACUCUGCCGAUAUGAAAACUAUGUUCCCCAAUAAGUACUGUGCUGCAACCUUAUCAAAAUGUAGAUUUCUGAUCUUUCAUAUAGUAUGAACACUCAACUACUAUACCAUAUAAAAUUAUACAUUUUGGGAGCCAAUUCUAGAAAGAGCUAAUUACUACCUACACACAAGUUACAAUUACAUCAAUACGAUUGUAAAUUCACCCUAAAAUGGGUUUUGCAAUUUUAUAAGCUUUUUUUUCUCCUAACACCAUAUUUUCCGUAGGUUGAUCUUUGCAUUUUUUUUUUUUUUUAUUUUCAACUAAAACAGCACGCACGUGUAUCAGUUGCUACUUUCAACAUUAGUUAACAUGCACCUUAACAAUACAGAUUGACCUUUUUCAUUGCUUCCCUCAUAGGCACCAACUCUCAAUCAAAAACAAAAUAAGUUUGAUUACUGCCACCAAUUAAUGCACAGGUUAAUAAUAAUUAGCAUAACACCAAUUGAUGCAUCAUUAAUCUACAAACAAAAACAAUUUGAGAUCACCCAAUUCAAUCGCGAAUUGUCAUUUGAAGAAUCGAUGAAUCAUACCUAUUCAAGGAGUUCUCCGGAUACGCCAUUCCGCCUUCACACUUUACCGAUUGCUAAAUGAUGACAUUGCUUAUCCAAAUUGGUUACUUCUACUGCUGAGUUACUAGGGUUUGCUCCUACUUCGUCGCACCUAACCUUUCAACCAAAUUCCCCUUUCAUUGACGCAAGCCAAUAUUCCUUUGUAAAAGGGAUUGUGGCAAUUACAUUAUUGUCCUCUCUAACGUUUAAUUCCAG
Molecule: long non-coding RNA, 1890 nt
Filed under: Jatropha curcas
Lineage: Eukaryota; Viridiplantae; Streptophyta; Magnoliopsida; Malpighiales; Euphorbiaceae
Description: long non-coding RNA (JCUR_LNC000810)
Source: RNAcentral